GGCGUCAGAGUGAACCGCUGGCGGCAGGCCUAACACAUGCGAAGUCGAACGGCAGCGACACGGGGAAGCUUGCUCCCUGGGUGGCGAGUGGGCGGACGGGUGAGGAAUGCGUCGGAAUCUGCCUUUUCGUGGGGGAUAACGUAGGGAAACUUACGCUAUACCGCAUGCGACCCUGCACCGGGAGGUGCUGGGUGAAAGCGGGGGGACCCUUCGGGCCUCGCGCGGAAAGAUGAGCCGACGCCGGAUUAGCUAGUUGGCGGGGUAACGGCCCACCAAGGCGACGAUCCGUAGCUGGUCUGAGAGGAUGAUCAGCCACACUGGAACUGAGACACGGUCCAGACUCCUACGGGAGGCAGCAGUGGGGAAUAUUGGACAAUGGGCGCAAGCCUGAUCCAGCCAUGCCGCGUGAGUGAAGAAGGCCUUCGGGUUGUAAAGCUCUUUUGUUGGGAAAGAAAAGCUUUCGGUUAAUAACCGGGAGUUCUGACGGUACCCCAAAGAAUAAGCACCGGCUAACUUCGUGCCAGCCGCCGCGGUAAUAC
RNAcentral lists this ribosomal RNA (539 nucleotides) under uncultured Gammaproteobacteria bacterium. RNAcentral describes it as "bacterial SSU rRNA". It matches the Rfam family "Bacterial small subunit ribosomal RNA", at positions 32 to 526 of the family's 1533-position model. Lineage: Bacteria; Pseudomonadati; Pseudomonadota; Gammaproteobacteria. The record is from RNAcentral.